AUGAUUUCAGGGUUGUUCCCCCUGCCCUCCCCACACUGCUCUGGCUUUGGGGUUUCUGUCAGACGAGAGGCUCCCUUCCUCCGUGUUUAUCGAGGGCCUGCUAUGUGGAAGAGUUUUUUAGUUCCUCCACCGGGCCAUUUAUCCGUCUCUUGGGCUGUCCGUCUGUCCAUCCAUCCAUCCUCACCCACUUUGAAGUAUGUUGCUAGGUGCUGUGGAAGGAAAGUGCGUAAGACAGAGAAAGAACUCAUAUUUGUUGAGCAGCUCUGUGUUUCACGGCCACGGUUGAGAGCUUUUAUAUAUUCUUAUUUAAUUUUUGAUGCUGCUGCAUGAGAAAUUGCUCUGCUUGCUGAUGGAAACUUUCACCAGGUGUUUGUCCCAAGGUGCUAAUGGGUGAAUGUGAUCAAAGCUCUCUUAUCUGGCCUCCAGGGGGCCUGCUGGCCUUUGUGACUGCUGCUCUCUGUCCUGGGGGCCUCUGGGGGCUGGGAUUGCUCCCUCCCAGUGAGUGCUGUGCUUACUGGGCAGUUGUGUUUUUUUCCCUCCAAACUUGUUUUUGCCACUUGCUCUUGCUUUUUGUGAUUAUGUAAUUGAGCGAAGUAUUACGUAAACUGAUGAAAUCUGAGUGUGAAGAGAAGUUGUUUUUCUGAAAACUACAUUGUGUGUUUUGGAAGGACUUGAAAAGUAACUGUUAAAAAAAAAAUUUCCUGGGGUGCUUGGGUGGCUCAGUCAGUUAGGGGUCCGACUCUUGAUUGCAGCUUAGGUCAUGAUCUCGGGGUUGUGGGAUUGAGCUCAGCUCAGAGUCUGCUUGCUCCCCUCCAUCCAUUCCUCCCCUUGUUCUUUCUCUCUUUCUAAAAUAAAUAAAUGAAUCUUUAAAAAAAAAAAAAUUCCUGUCGUUUUAGGUGUGGUUAAGAUGCAUCAGUAUAAAUAAACAAGGGGCAUGGUGGUGGUUAAAAUCUAGGAGGAUUCUUCUCUUUACAAGUUAGCGAAACCCUCCUUGAAGGAAGUUGCCCUGAGACCUUGUGGGUGUGGUUUUUGCUGGAAAGACCAUAGAACUUCAGUCAGCAGAUCCAUCCUCAAAAGAAAAGACCUUGGGGGGGAAAAAAAAAAGACCUUGGCUGUUCAUCACAAGAUUGGGGAAUGAAUGUUUAAAGUCAAUUGUCUAAGGUGUGUAUAUUUCAUUUCUGAGUCCUUUCCUGCUCUGCCUUCUUAAAAUAAACAGCCAUCGCAUCAGACAGGAUAGUCUUUCGGCCAAACGGGAGUGACUGCCUUUCUCCGCCUCACCUCCCGUGGCUUGGUGGGAAAUGCGCCAGAGGGUGAAGAGUGGUGAGCGGGCUGGGAGCAAGAGAGCUGCGUCCUUCUCCCAGCUUCACCCACCUACCAGCUGGGAGACCCAAGGGAAACCACUCAGUUUCCUCAUCUGUAAAAUGGGAGGGUCCCGCCCUGGAGUUGGGGAGGGUCCAGCUGGUACACAGUGUGUGUGAAAGCACUUUCCCACAUGGUGGGUGCUCAUCAAAUGUCAGCUGACUAUGGUAGGCUCGUUAUACCGGUCUCUCUUUAUUAUGUUCCUCUUAUUCACUAAUACAAUUAGGAGUUAUGGGGAAAAGAAGUGCCCCCCAAAAUCCUACUCGAUGAGAAUUUGCAGAUUCCAAGUUUACAAACAUUUAGACUGUAACUUUUUUUUUUCUUUUUUUUAAGAUUUAUUUAUUCACGUUUGAGAGAGAGAGUGAGACUGCACUCACUAACGGGGAAAUGGGCAGAGGGAGAGAGAAUCCCAAGCAGACUCCCUCCUGAGCAUGGAGUCUGACACAGGGCUCGAUCCUGAGACCCUGAGAUCAUAAUCUGGGCUGAAAUAAGAAUCAGACACUGAGCCGACGGAUCCACCCGUGCGCCCCUACACCAUGAUGGUCUUCACACUGUGUAGAAAAGAAAUCCAGGAAGCAAGUCAGUACUCACGGCAAAGAUUGUCUGAUAGCAUGUGCUCAUACAGCACGGGGAGAAGCUUGUCGACACACUUUUGUUAGAAAUUUAUACCUUCAUUAAAGCAGGUGUUCUAGCCCUUCUGCCUACCAACACCUGUUUAACCUGCCUCAUUACCGUAGAUGCAUUUCAAAACCAGAAGUCCUUUUCUUGUUACACUGUAGAGUUCGUACUUGCCUUCAACCUUUUGAUGAAUUCAGAUUGGUUUUCUCUGUUCAUUAAAAUUCUUUCCCUUGUAGGGGCUGUUUCGGUAUUUCCAAAAUGAUAUUUAUCAUUCGUUUGCUUGUAACAUGAAAGUAAUAGUUCUGGUGGUGAAGAAGAUCAUUCUCCUCUUUCCCUUGCCCCUUCUUUUGUGGCCUCAAGGUCCUUGUCACCCGCCUGUGUCCUGACCGCAGUGGUAGGAAAUAGGUCUGUUAUGGGUGUUGAUCUAAAAACUCCUGGGUUAUUAAAAGGGAAGCAUGUGGGGGAUAUUUCCGCUUCAUGCUUGAGUGGUGGUAAUUAGCUCUGUGGCCUUUUCUGAUUCUCUGGGAGCUCGAGGAGAACAGAAGUGCUCUAAGGACCAGGUGUGUGCUGCUUUCUUCAUGGACCCUCCCAUUUCCUGACCGGGUCCCCCAGGGCUCGGGGCUCCGCCAGGAAAGGAACUUGGGAAGUGGAAUGUCUGUGUGUGAUCCCCUUUCCUGUUUCAGAUGGGACUCUUCUCAUUCCAGGCUUAUUUUUGGAUGAUUUGGACUUCCUCUGAAGCUCCACUCAGCAGCCUUACUAAAUUCUUAGGUGGGGCCCGUCAGGGGUAGCAGAUUUGAUCACAAACAUUUCUGUGUUUCCUCUUGACUCUCUCUUCUCCACUGAUUGAAGAAGAAGACCCUGAAAGCUGGGCAGCAGUGUUCAAGCUUUUUAAGCCUUUUGUAGUUUACGAAAUUUGAAAUUUCCUUGGCUUUGUACACAAUAAAAGAAUUUUGAUUAAUGUCUUGAUUUGAUCUAUUGUCAGAGACUGUUCUCCAUCUUACAUGGUAAUACCAUGACGGGAGUCUGGGACGUUUUCCCUAAAAAGAUACAGAAAUCAGAGUUUUAUGAGAAGGAGCAGACCCCAUAGGGAACGUUUCUCAGGUGAUUCCUAUUAUGUACAGUAAAAUUUGGGAAACUCUGUCCGCCUCCUAACUAGAAUUAAUCUCCCUCCUCCAAACUCCCCAGCCUGUUUCCCCUCGUCCAUUCGUCUAACGUGUGUGUAAGCCGCCUCUGAGAGCAGACGGCCUUUGAGGGCAGGUUCAGCCUGACUUGGUGUCCCGUUCCCACAGCUGUUUUCCCACGUGGCUUCAGCAAACGUUUGCAUAAAAUGAGAGAAUGAGCCAGUACAUCCAUCAGAAACGUCCCCAUGAAAACCAGCGCUGUAAUUUUUAGGGGCAGGUCACCCUUUGGCUGGAAGACUCCUCAGAAUAACGCGACUCUGGCUGAAGAGUCUGAGGCCCGCACAUGACACAUUAUUUGACACCGACGCUCCGUUCCUGCCAGGAUGUGCGUGGAGAUGGCCGACCACCUGCUUCCAGCAGGCCACAGCAUGAAACGGCAGCUGGGCCUCAGCUGGGGGUUUGCAAAUGUCCCGACCCCUCCCUCCUGCACUUCUGCAAGUGUUCAGCGCUCAGCUGCCCAUACCAAGCCCACCUACAGCCCGCCCACACAGAGCCCCAUGCUCUGUUUUCCGCUUCCCCUGGGAGAGGGGCCUUCCUGGAGCUGCACUCCCCCCCCCUUCCCAGAACCCAGCCUACAAGGCUCCUCCCCUGGACAUCUCUCCCUCCGGACUAGCUGUGGGUGACUUCAGAGUCCUCAUCCAAAACCUCCCUUGGUUCUGUUUCCUGCCCUGGUUACUGCCCCAUUUCCCUUUUCCACAAUAGACCCUCGGGUUGGACUGGGUGGAUAAGUAAGUUCAUUUUAAAAUCUAGCUGUCAGAAUGACCGUGUCCCAGGGGCUGCCCUGCGGAAAACUUUUGGGAGGCAGGCCCCCCAAGUUAAUAAUCUUUGUUACAUUGGCCUAGUAUUUGUGGUGUCUCAAAACAUGUUUGGUGGAAAAGAAGGAAAGGGAAAUCUGGCCGGAGCGCCGAUUACAUCCAGAUCCAGAACCUUCUCGGAGGCUGUGAGGCUGGGGGCUUAAAACCCCGGGGAGCCUGCUGAGGGAUCUGCUAACCUUUGUGUCUUUCAGCCUUAACGACUUAACUCAUUCAGAUACCUGGUGCAUGUAGCGGGGUGUUUUAUUUGGCCCGGGUGAGAAUAUUGAGACGAGGUAACGCUCCUCCUUAUUUUGUUUCGCAGCCGGACGGAAAGCGUGCUAACCCAUCUAAUAAAAUGGAAAUCGGGGAGUCAUAAAUUAAAGUUGGAUUCCACCUAAAAAUAGGGCAGUUGCGUCAGAGACCAUGGCUGCUCAGGACAUCCGUUCAGCUGCAAUGGUUGAGCCCGUGCUGUCCACCAGAUCUUGCAGUGCAGAGGGCGAAGACGAAACAGCCGCUGUUUCCUCAGGCAGCUUAGCUCGGCAGUUCGGAGAUAAGCAGGAAGCUGCUCUUCAGAGUAGCCGAGGGUGAUGAAGAUUGUCAG
Molecule: long non-coding RNA, 4553 nt
Filed under: Mustela putorius furo (domestic ferret)
Lineage: Eukaryota; Metazoa; Chordata; Mammalia; Carnivora; Mustelidae
Description: lncRNA (ENSMPUG00000031266.1)
Source: RNAcentral